AAGAGGAGGGGAGAGGGGGGUGGGGAGGGGGGGGAAAGAUUCUCUCUCUCUCUCUCUCCCCCCCCAUCCCUCUCUUCACCACCAUCCA
Molecule: non-coding RNA, 88 nt
Organism: Podarcis lilfordi (Lilford's wall lizard)
Lineage: Eukaryota; Metazoa; Chordata; Lepidosauria; Squamata; Lacertidae
Source: the annotation of a GenBank genome assembly